ACAUCCACGAUGUUCCACUUCCAUGAUUGCUCCGGUACCGCCAGAAAUUCUGCUGGAUGCUUGUAUUUUU
Long non-coding RNA from Sander lucioperca (pikeperch), 70 nucleotides. RefSeq lists it as uncharacterized. The transcript has 3 exons. NCBI's taxonomy places the organism in Eukaryota, Metazoa, Chordata, Actinopteri, Perciformes, Percidae. The record is from RefSeq and is a predicted model, not a curated record.